Bactrocera tryoni is the source of this 204-nucleotide small nucleolar RNA. RefSeq annotates it as small nucleolar RNA U3. The record is from RefSeq and is a predicted model, not a curated record. NCBI's taxonomy places the organism in Eukaryota, Metazoa, Arthropoda, Insecta, Diptera, Tephritidae. The transcript has a single exon.
AAAACUAUACUUCACAGGAUCAUUUCUGUAGUUGGUCUUCAUUUACAUUUUUUUUUGCAAAUCGACCGGCGAUGACGAGGUAAUCGUUUUAUCUGGCAGCGUGCGGUUUACGAACUUGAUUCUAAUUUUGUCUUGUGGCAUAUUAGAAAUGAUGUUUCUUCGAAAAUCGCUCGCUUACAACGGAUAAAACGACUUCUGAGUGGU